AUUGAACGCUGGCGGCAUGCUCUACACAUGCAAGUCGAACGGUAACAGGCCGCAAGGUGCUGACGAGUGGCGAACGGGUGAGUAAUGCAUCGGAACGUGCCCAGUCGUGGGGGAUAACUACUCGAAAGAGUAGCUAAUACCGCAUACGAUCUAUGGAUGAAAGCGGGGGACCGUAAGGCCUCGCGCGAUUGGAGCGGCCGAUGUCAGAUUAGGUAGUUGGUGGGGUAAAGGCUCACCAAGCCAACGAUCUGUAGCUGGUCUGAGAGGACGACCAGCCACACUGGGACUGAGACACGGCCCAGACUCCUACGGGAGGCAGCAGUGGGGAAUUUUGGACAAUGGGCGCAAGCCUGAUCCAGCAAUGCCGCGUGCAGGAAGAAGGCCUUCGGGUUGUAAACUGCUUUUGUACGGAACGAAACGGCUCUGGUUAAUACCCGGAGCUAAUGACGGUACCGUAAGAAUAAGCACCGGCUAACUACGUG
RNAcentral lists this ribosomal RNA (482 nucleotides) under uncultured bacterium. RNAcentral describes it as "partial 16S ribosomal RNA". It matches the Rfam family "Bacterial small subunit ribosomal RNA", at positions 30 to 507 of the family's 1533-position model. The record is from RNAcentral.